GACAGAGGUGGCAAGCGUUGUUCGGAAUUACUGGGCGUAAAGGGCGCGUAGGCGGCCUACUAAGUCAGACGUGAAAUCCCCCGGCUUAACCUGGGAACUGCGUCUGAUACUGGAAGGCUUGAGGAUGGGAGAGGGAUGUAGAAUUCCAGGUGUAGAGGUGAAAUUCGUAGAUAUUCGCAAGAACACCAGUGGCGAAGGCGGCUCACUGGCCCGGUACUGACGCUGAGGUGCGAAAGCGUGGGGAGCAAACAGG
RNAcentral lists this ribosomal RNA (253 nucleotides) under uncultured bacterium. RNAcentral describes it as "partial 16S ribosomal RNA". It matches the Rfam family "Bacterial small subunit ribosomal RNA", at positions 524 to 776 of the family's 1533-position model. The record is from RNAcentral.